AGUAAAUGAAGAAUAAGCAUCGACUAACUCCGUGCCAGCAGCCGCGGCAAUACGGAGGGUGCAAGCGUUAUCCGGAUUUACUGGGUUUAAAGGGUGCGUAGGCGGCUCUUUAAGUCAGUGGUGAAAGCCUGGCGCUUAACGCCAGAAUGGCCAUUGAUACUGAAGCGCUUGAGUCAAGAAGAGGUAAGUAGAAUUCAUGGUGUAGCGGUGAAAUGCAUAGAUAUUACGAAGAACAUCAGUGGCGAAGGCGGCCUGCUGGUCUACAACUGACGCUGAGGCACGAAAGCGUGGGGAGCGAACAGGAUUAGAUACCCUGGUAGUCCACGCCGUAAACGAUGAGUGCUAAGUGUUAGGGGGUUUCCGCCCCUUAGUGCUGCAGCUAACGCAUUAAGCACUCCGCCUGGGGAGUACGGCCGCAAG
Molecule: ribosomal RNA, 420 nt
Filed under: Astrosyne radiata
Lineage: Eukaryota; Bacillariophyta; Fragilariophyceae; Cyclophorales; Cyclophoraceae
Description: partial Bacterial small subunit ribosomal RNA
Rfam family: Bacterial small subunit ribosomal RNA
Source: RNAcentral